CUGCUGCCUCCCGUAGGAGUCUGGGCCGUAUCUCAGUCCCAAUGUGGCCGGUCAACCUCUCAGUCCGGCUACUGAUCGUCGCCUAGGUGGGCCGUUACCCCGCCUACUAGCUAAUCAGACGCGAGGCCAUCCUCCAGCGAUAAAUCUUUGGUGUUGCAAUGAUGCCAUCACAACACAUUAUGCGGUAUUAGCAGUCGUUUCCAACUGUUGUCCCCCUCUGGAAGGCAGGUUCCUCACGCGUUA
This 243-nucleotide ribosomal RNA is filed under the name uncultured bacterium. Its description in RNAcentral is "partial 16S ribosomal RNA". The record is from RNAcentral.